Molecule: long non-coding RNA, 340 nt
Organism: Chinchilla lanigera (long-tailed chinchilla)
Lineage: Eukaryota; Metazoa; Chordata; Mammalia; Rodentia; Chinchillidae
Exons: 3
Source: RefSeq, a predicted model, not a curated record
AAACUACAAUCCUUCCAGGCUAGUAAAGCACUUGGAUAAAAAUGCGCAAAUCCAGUCACUAUCUUGAAACAGGGAAAAGCCACCCUGUGAGCAACCUUGAGCCCCAGUCUGGUAUCUUAGGUGCCUUCUUAAUCAUAAUGAGAGAGAAUAAGGAGAAUGGACUUCCUUACGCAUUCACAAUGAGGCCAUAAUUCGUACGUCUUGCUGCCAGCUGGCUCCGAUUCGAAUUGCAUCGCCUGCUGGCUUGAACCACUGGCGGUACACCUGUGACUGUCUAGAAACAAUGGGUGCUGCUGGGGCCACAAGAAAAGCCAAAUGUAUUAUGAAGCCAAAUGCACAA